UCCCUGGUAGCUCAACUGGUAAAGAAUUUGCCUUUAAUGCAGGAGACCCCGGUUCGAUUCCUGGAUUGGGAA
Molecule: transfer RNA, 72 nt
Filed under: Bos taurus (domestic cattle)
Lineage: Eukaryota; Metazoa; Chordata; Mammalia; Artiodactyla; Bovidae
Also listed under: 4 other names
Rfam family: tRNA
About the family: Transfer RNA (tRNA) molecules are approximately 80 nucleotides in length. Their secondary structure includes four short double-helical elements and three loops (D, anti-codon, and T loops).
Source: Rfam by way of RNAcentral